AACGAACGCUGGCGGCAUGCCUAACACAUGCAAGUCGAACGAGACCUUCGGGUCUAGUGGCGCACGGGUGAGUAACGCGUGGGAACCUGCCCUUAGGUUCGGAAUAACUCCCCGAAAGGGGUGCUAAUACCGGAUAAUGUCUUCGGACCAAAGAUUUAUCGCCUUUGGAUGGGCCCGCGUUGGAUUAGCUAGUUGGUAGGGUAAAAGCCUACCAAGGCGACGAUUCAUAGCUGGUCUGAGAGGAUGAUCAGCCACACUGGGACUGAGACACGGCCCAGACUCCUACGGGAGGCAGCAGUGGGGAAUAUUGGACAAUGGGCGAAAGCCUGAUCCAGCAAUGCCGCGUGAGUGAUGAAGGCCUUAGGGUUGUAAAGCUCUUUUACCCGGGAUGAUAAUGACAGUACCGGGAGAAUAAGCUCCGGCUAACUCCGUG
RNAcentral lists this ribosomal RNA (433 nucleotides) under uncultured bacterium. Its description in RNAcentral is "partial 16S ribosomal RNA". It matches the Rfam family "Bacterial small subunit ribosomal RNA", at positions 29 to 507 of the family's 1533-position model. The record is from RNAcentral.